AACGAACGCUGGCGGCAUGCCUAACACAUGCAAGUCGAACGAGAUCUUCGGGUCUAGUGGCGCACGGGUGCGUAACGCGUGGGAAUCUGCCCUUUGGUUCGGAAUAACAGUUGGAAACGACUGCUAAUACCGGAUGAUGACGAAAGUCCAAAGAUUUAUCGCCAGAGGAUGAGCCCGCGUAGGAUUAGCUAGUUGGUGUGGUAAAGGCGCACCAAGGCGACGAUCCUUAGCUGGUCUGAGAGGAUGAUCAGCCACACUGGGACUGAGACACGGCCCAGACUCCUACGGGAGGCAGCAGUGGGGAAUAUUGGACAAUGGGCGAAAGCCGAUCCAGCAAUGCCGCGUGAGUGAUGAAGGCCUUAGGGUUGUAGAGCUCCUUUACCCGGGAUGAUAAUGACAGUACCGGGAGAAUAAGCUCCGGCUAACUCCGUGCCAGCAGCCGCCGUAA
RNAcentral lists this ribosomal RNA (448 nucleotides) under uncultured bacterium. RNAcentral describes it as "partial 16S ribosomal RNA". It matches the Rfam family "Bacterial small subunit ribosomal RNA", at positions 29 to 523 of the family's 1533-position model. The record is from RNAcentral.